Molecule: ribosomal RNA, 490 nt
Filed under: Aspergillus pseudoglaucus
Lineage: Eukaryota; Fungi; Ascomycota; Eurotiomycetes; Eurotiales; Aspergillaceae
Description: eukaryotic LSU rRNA
Rfam family: 5.8S ribosomal RNA (bases 120-273)
Source: RNAcentral
ACCUCCCAUCCGUGUCUAUCUGUACCCUGUUGCUUCGGCGUGGCCACGGCCCGCCGAAGACUAACAUUUGAACACUGUCUGAAGUUUGCAGUCUGAGUUUUUAGUUAAACAAUAAUUAAAACUUUCAACAACGGAUCUCUUGGUUCCGGCAUCGAUGAAGAACGCAGCGAAAUGCGAUAAUUAAUGUGAAUUGCAGAAUUCAGUGAAUCAUCGAGUCUUUGAACGCACAUUGCGCCCCCUGGUAUUCCGGGGGGCAUGCCUGUCCGAGCGUCAUUGCUGCCCUCAAGCACGGCUUGUGUGUUGGGCUUCCGUCCCUGGUAACGGGGACGGGCCCAAAAGGCAGUGGCGGCACCAUGUCUGGUCCUCGAGCGUAUGGGGCUUUGUCACCCGCUCCCGUAGGUCCAGCUGGCAGCUAGCCUCGCAACCAAUCUUUUUAACCAGGUUGACCUCGGAUCAGGUAGGGAUACCCGCUGAACUUAAGCAUAUCAAA